CGCUUAUGGGAUGCGGCGGACGAUGCCGAGCAUGACGGCGGCGGCCUCGUCACCAUCUUCCUCGUCGUCGUCGCAUUUGACGGGUGCCGAGCAGAGCGGUUUGGGAGGGAGGGGGAGGCGGCCAGCAAGCCCGUCCGAGUUUGCCCGCUUCUGCCCCGCUCCGCCGCACUUGCCCAUCGCCCCUCCACCCACCGCUGCUCCGCCUGCCAUUCUCGCCUGCCGCGCCUGCGCCCAUCUCUCCCCCUCUCGCUGGUUCAAGCUCAAUUUCGACGGCUCCGUGUACCACGACGGAUCGGGCAGUGCGAGCAUCGGCGGCGCCAUCCGCGGACCCGCGUCGGUCGCCUUCGCCGAGACGACCGACCACUGGAGCAUCGGCGUACGUGGUGGAGGCCCGCGCGGCGCGCUCAUCCGCGGCCUACGUCUCGUCUCGCUCUCGCCUGUUUCAUGGAGAGGCUGGUGGUUGAGGGCGACGACCGUCCAGCUGCUGCGUGGCGACUGGCGCGGAGACACAGACGCGGAUCCCGGCCGCCCUGCACGACGAGAUCGUCACCUUGCUCGGCUGCUUCGCCGAGGUUGGCGUGCAGCAUGUCUACCGGGAGAGCAACCACAGGUCGCCGAUGACGCGUACCGGUAUCCCGGAGUCUGGACGCCGUCGUCCCCCGUCGCCGAGAAGGCCGACAAUGACCGCUGCGGCGUCGCGCACGACGCGCAUGCGUUACAGCGACAAUCAAGAAGGCUUCUUGGAGAUGGCCCGCAGCUGCGGGUGUUCGAGGAGAUGCACGCACAAACGCCGAGCAGUGGCUGUGCGGCCGCUGGUGCAAAGAACGUGGAGACAGAGAUCGUCGCCAUGGCCAAAGUCGGUGCAUGGGCACGCGGCAGGAUCGAUCAACUCGACCGACAUGGCGAACUCAAGUCUUUCGCUUCUGUUUGUAUAAGUGUAGUUGUCUCCCGCUGUAAACAUGUAUAA
RNAcentral lists this long non-coding RNA (967 nucleotides) under Oryza sativa Indica Group (long-grained rice). Its description in RNAcentral is "lncRNA OsMH63_03G014100". The record is from RNAcentral. Lineage: Eukaryota; Viridiplantae; Streptophyta; Magnoliopsida; Poales; Poaceae.